UCUGGUCCUUGUGUGCCCGCCGCCGCGGUAAUACGGCCGGUCCGGGCGUUAUCCGGAUUUAUUGGGUUUAAAGGGAGCGCAGGCGGACCUUUAAGUCAGCUGUGAAAUACGGCGGCUCAACCGUCGAACUGCAGUUGAUACUGGAGGUCUUGAGUGCACACAGGGAUGCUGGAAUUCAUGGUGUAGCGGUGAAAUGCUCAGAUAUCAUGAAGAACUCCGAUCGCGAAGGCAGGCAUCCGGGGUGCAACUGACGCUGAGGCUCGAAAGUGCGGGUAUCAAACAGG
This 284-nucleotide ribosomal RNA is filed under the name Prevotellamassilia timonensis. RNAcentral's name for it is "partial 16S ribosomal RNA". It matches the Rfam family "Bacterial small subunit ribosomal RNA", at positions 492 to 776 of the family's 1533-position model. Lineage: Bacteria; Pseudomonadati; Bacteroidota; Bacteroidia; Bacteroidales; Prevotellaceae. The record is from RNAcentral.